Molecule: ribosomal RNA, 507 nt
Filed under: uncultured bacterium
Lineage: Bacteria
Description: bacterial SSU rRNA
Rfam family: Bacterial small subunit ribosomal RNA
Source: RNAcentral
AGAGUUUGAUCAUGGCUCAGGAUGAACGCUAGCGGCAGGCCUAAUACAUGCAAGUCAAGGGGACCAGCAAUGGUCACCGGCGCACGGGUGCGUAACGCGUACACAACAUGCCCUUAGGUGGGGGAUAGCACUGGGAAACUGGUGGUAACACCCCAUGGUAUCAUUUUUCGGCAUCGGGAGAUGAUUAAAGGCUACGCCUAAGGAUUGGUGUGCGUCCGAUUAGCUUGUUGGCGGGGUAACGGCCCACCAAGGCGAUGAUCGGUAGGGGGUGUGAGAGCAUGGCCCCCCACACGGGUACUGAGACACGGGCCCGACUCGUACGGGAGGCAGCAGUGAGGAAUAUUGGGCAAUGGACGCAAGUGUGACCCAGCCAUGCCGCGUGAAGGAUGAAGGCGUUCUGCGUUGUAAACUUCUUUUAUCUGGGAAGAAACCUGAGUUUUGUAAUUCAGCCGACGGUACCAGAUGAAUAAGCACCGGCUAACUCCGUGCUAGCAGCCGCGGUAAUAC